CAAUAGCGUAUAUUAAAGUUGUUGCAGUUAAAAAGCUCGUAGUUGAACUUCGGAACCGGUCGAUUGGUCCGUCCUCUGGAUUGUGUACUGAUCGAUCUGUUCUUCUUCGCGAAGACCGCGUGUGCCCUUAACUGGGUGUGCACGGGAUUCACGACGUUUACUUUGAAAAAUUAGAGUGUUCAAAGCAGGCAUUCGCUUGAAUAUCUCAGCAUGGAAUAAUAGAAUAGGACUUUGGUCUUAUUUUGUUGGUUUCUAAGGCCGAGGUAAUGAUUAAUAGGGAUAGUUGGGGGCGUUUAUAUUCCGUUGUCAGAGGUGAAAUUCUUGGAUUUACGGAAGAUAAACUACUGCGAAAGCAUUCGCCAAGGAUGUUUUCAUUAAUCAAGAACGAAAGUUAGGGGAUCGAAGACGAUCAGAUACCAU
This 420-nucleotide ribosomal RNA is filed under the name uncultured eukaryote. Its description in RNAcentral is "SSU rRNA". It matches the Rfam family "Eukaryotic small subunit ribosomal RNA", at positions 592 to 1018 of the family's 1831-position model. The record is from RNAcentral.